RNAcentral lists this ribosomal RNA (789 nucleotides) under uncultured Sulfitobacter sp. RNAcentral's name for it is "bacterial SSU rRNA". It matches the Rfam family "Bacterial small subunit ribosomal RNA", at positions 35 to 869 of the family's 1533-position model. Lineage: Bacteria; Pseudomonadati; Pseudomonadota; Alphaproteobacteria; Rhodobacterales; Roseobacteraceae. The record is from RNAcentral.
GCUGGCGGCAGGCCUAACACAUGCAAGUCGAGCGCAGUCCUUCGGGACCGAGCGGCGGACGGGUUAGUAACGCGUGGGAACAUACCCUUUUCUACGGAAUAGCCUCGGGAAACUGAGAGUAAUACCGUAUAAGCCCUUCGGGGGAAAGAUUUAUCGGGAAAGGAUUGGCCCGCGUUAGAUUAGAUAGUUGGUGGGGUAAUGGCCUACCAAGUCUACGAUCUAUAGCUGGUUUUAGAGGAUGAUCAGCAACACUGGGACUGAGACACGGCCCAGACUCCUACGGGAGGCAGCAGUGGGGAAUCUUAGACAAUGGGCGCAAGCCUGAUCUAGCCAUGCCGCGUGUGUGAUGAAGGUCUUAGGAUCGUAAAGCACUUUCGCCAGGGAUGAUAAUGACAGUACCUGGUAAAGAAACCCCGGCUAACUCCGUGCCAGCAGCCGCGGUAAUACGGAGGGGGUUAGCGUUGUUCGGAAUUACUGGGCGUAAAGCGUACGUAGGCGGAUCAGAAAGUAGGGGGUGAAAUCCCAGGGCUCAACCCUGGAACUGCCUCCUAAACUCCUGGUCUUGAGUUCGAGAGAGGUGAGUGGAAUUCCAAGUGUAGAGGUGAAAUUCGUAGAUAUUUGGAGGAACACCAGUGGCGAAGGCGGCUCACUGGCUCGAUACUGACGCUGAGGUACGAAAGUGUGGGGAGCAAACAGGAUUAGAUACCCUGGUAGUCCACACCGUAAACGAUGAAUGCCAGUCGUCGGGCAGUAUACUGUUCGGUGACACACCUAACGGAUUAAGCAUCC